Molecule: ribosomal RNA, 375 nt
Filed under: uncultured bacterium
Lineage: Bacteria
Description: bacterial SSU rRNA
Rfam family: Bacterial small subunit ribosomal RNA
Source: RNAcentral
AUACGAAGGGGGCUAGCGUUGUUCGGAAUUACUGGGCGUAAAGCGCACGUAGGCGGAUAUUUAAGUGAGGGGUGAAAUCCCAGGGCUCAACCCUGGAACUGCCUCUCAUACUGGGUAUCUCGAGUUCGAGAGAGGUGAGUGGAAUUGCGAGUGUAGAGGUGAAAUUCGUAGAUAUUCGCAGGAACACCAGUGGCGAAGGCGGCUCACUGGCUCGAUACUGACGCUGAGGUGCGAAAGCGGGGGGAGCAAACAGGAUUAGAUACCCUGGUAGUCCACGCCGUAAACGAUGGAUGCUAGCCGUCGGGCAGUUUACUGUUCGGUGGCGCAGCUAACGCAUUAAGCAUCCCGCCUGGGGAGUACGGUCGCAAGAUUAAA